RNAcentral lists this ribosomal RNA (492 nucleotides) under uncultured bacterium. RNAcentral describes it as "partial 16S ribosomal RNA". It matches the Rfam family "Bacterial small subunit ribosomal RNA", at positions 29 to 507 of the family's 1533-position model. The record is from RNAcentral.
AGUGAACGCUGGCGGUAGGCCUAACACAUGCAAGUCGAACGGCAGCACAGUAAGAGCUUGCUCUUACGGGUGGCGAGUGGCGGACGGGUGAGGAAUACAUCGGAAUCUACUUUUUCGUGGGGGAUAACGUAGGGAAACUUACGCUAAUACCGCAUGCGACCUACGGGUGAAAGCAGGGGAUCUUUGGACCUUGCGCGAUUGAAUGAGCCGAUGUCGGAUUAGCUAGUUGGCGGGGUAAAGGCCCACCAAGGCGACGAUUCGUAGCUGGUCUGAGAGGAUGAUCAGCCACACUGGAACUGAGACACGGUCCAGACUCCUACGGGAGGCAGCAGUGGGGAAUAUUGGACAAUGGGCGCAAGCCUGAUCCAGCCAUACCGCGUGGGUGAAGAAGGCCUUCGGGUUGUAAAGCCCUUUUGUUGGGAAAGAAAAGCAGCAGGUUAAUACCCCGCUGUUCUGACGGUACCCAAAGAAUAAGCACCGGCUAACUUCGUG